UACAGAGGGUGCGAGCGUUAAUCGGAAUUACUGGGCGUAAAGGGCUCGUAGGCGGCCAACUAAGUCGGACGUGAAAUCCCUCGGCUUAACCGGGGAACUGCGUCCGAUACUGGAUGGCUUGAGUUUGGGAGAGGGAUGCGGAAUUCCAGGUGUAGCGGUGAAAUGCGUAGAUAUCUGGAGGAACACCGGUGGCGAAGGCGGCAUCCUGGACCAACACUGACGCUGAGGAGCGAAAGCCAGGGGAGCAAACGGG
This 253-nucleotide ribosomal RNA is filed under the name uncultured bacterium. Its description in RNAcentral is "partial 16S ribosomal RNA". It matches the Rfam family "Bacterial small subunit ribosomal RNA", at positions 524 to 776 of the family's 1533-position model. The record is from RNAcentral.